UUUUUCCAUAUUUUAUUUUCUUGAUUUUUUAUUUUUCUUGGAUUUCCUUAUUUUUCCUUUGUUUUAGUUGGUUUAAAAGUACUUUUAUGCAUUUAAAAAAUUCUGAAAAAUUUAUUUUAUGUUUCUUAUUUUAUCUCCAACCUUCCAUAAUUUUCUUGGCCAUUUAUUUGUUAUUUUGAAGGUCUUUAUGGAUUUUCUCUUUUAUUUCCCUUUUAAAAAUCAUUUUUAAGAAUAUUUUUGAUGCAUUUUAUU
This 252-nucleotide long non-coding RNA is filed under the name Lathyrus oleraceus (garden pea). RNAcentral's name for it is "Pisum sativum (pea) long non-coding RNA (PSAT_LNC021606)". Lineage: Eukaryota; Viridiplantae; Streptophyta; Magnoliopsida; Fabales; Fabaceae. The record is from RNAcentral.